UGCUUGUACUGUUCUAAGGGUCAUGAUGAUUUAUGUGAGGAUUUCUUUGCUUAUAAUCGGGCAAAAGGAACUCUUUACGAUGGUGAAACAAGGCUAUUCCUCCGCAGCAAUGGAAAGCCAGUGUUCAUGUAUAGCAUGGGAGGCCUUGCUGAGUAUUGUGUUGUUCCAGCACAUGGAUUGACUAUUUUACCAAGCUCAUUGCCAUACACGGAGUCUGCAAUUUUAGGAUGUGCAGUAUUUACUGCCUAUGGUGCUAUGGCCCAUGCAGCAGAGGUGCAUCCGGGGGAUUCUGUUGCCAUAAUUGGAAUUGGAGGUGUUGGCUCGAGUUGUUUGCAGAUAGCCAGGGCAUUUGGUGCCUCUGAUAUUAUUGCUGUGGACGUUCAGGAUGACAAACUACAGAAAGCUAAGAUUUUUGGUGCAACUCACACUAUAAAUGCAACGAAAGAAGAUCCUAUUGAAAGGAUUAGAGAAAUAACUGGGGGAAGAGGUGUAGACAUUGCUGUAGAAGCCUUGGGCAAACCACUAACAUUUUCUCAGUGUACGCAAAGUGUAAGAGAUGGAGGAAAAGCUGUAAUGAUUGGACUUGCAAAAGCUGGUUCUGUUGGGGAGAUAGAUAUAAAUCGUCUUGUUCGUCGAAAGAUUCAAGUAAUUGGUUCUUAUGGAGCAAGGGCUAGGCAGGAUCUUCCCAAGUUGGUUAAACUUGCAGAAACAGGUAUUUUCAAUUUGACUGAUGCUGUUUCAAGAAAAUACAAAUUUGAGGAGGCAGACAAAGCAUUCCAGGAUCUCAACCAGGGAAACAUUAUUAGUCGAGCUGUCGUUGAGAUAAUGUAGUUCUUUUUAAUUCGAGCCAGUUUUUCGACUUCAAUAAGAGGUAUCUAUUUGACUAAAACUAUUGUGAAACUAUAAGAACUAGGUAAUGAUCUUGCUUUUGACUUCUUGAUGGCUGUGAUUCAAAGGGUCUUAAUUAGACAUGCUGACAAUGGAUAUUGCAAUGUGUUGCGAAUUUGAUGGAAAUUUCUUGGUUUUUAUUUUUGAUUUUAAGAAGAGACCUCAUUUUAGUAAAAUA
Molecule: unclassified non-coding RNA, 1066 nt
Filed under: Hevea brasiliensis (rubber tree)
Lineage: Eukaryota; Viridiplantae; Streptophyta; Magnoliopsida; Malpighiales; Euphorbiaceae
Source: RNAcentral